Molecule: ribosomal RNA, 391 nt
Filed under: uncultured bacterium
Lineage: Bacteria
Description: bacterial SSU rRNA
Rfam family: Bacterial small subunit ribosomal RNA
Source: RNAcentral
AAUCAACGCUGGCGGCGUGCCUAACACAUGCAAGUCGAACGCGAGAGGGGCUUCGGCCCCGAUUGAGUGGCGAACGGGUGAGUAACGCGUGGGUGACCUACCUUCGAGUGGGGGAUAACGUCCCGAAAGGGACGCUAAUACCGCAUAACAUCCUGCUUUUGAAUGGGUGGAGAUCAAAGCCGGGGAUCGCAAGACCUGGCGCUUGAUGAGGGGCCCGCGUCUGAUUAGCUAGUUGGGAGGUAACGGCCCACCAAGGCAACGAUCAGUAUCCGGCCUGAGAGGGCGGACGGACACACUGGGACUGAGACACGGCCCAGACUCCUACGGGAGGCAGCAGUGGGGAAUUGUUCGCAAUGGGCGCAAGCCUGACGACGCAACGCCGCGUGGAGGA